This 246-nucleotide long non-coding RNA is filed under the name Ananas comosus (pineapple). Its description in RNAcentral is "long non-coding RNA (ACOM_LNC000894)". The record is from RNAcentral. Lineage: Eukaryota; Viridiplantae; Streptophyta; Magnoliopsida; Poales; Bromeliaceae.
CAUAAUGGCUUACACGAGGGUAAGCAAUAGCCAAAGUGAAAGAAUACUAAACUCUACAACCAUGCAAGUAGAAUGAUUACUUUUAACCAUUUACAAGCAUACAUCUUUUACAUUCACAUUUGCCUUUACAUUCCUUUUCAUCAUUUCUUUUCUUUACAUCACAAUGUCUCCACAAUAGGAUCUUACAUUUAACCAUCUUUAAUAUAUUUGCACCAUUCAUAUACCUAUAAUCAUCAAAUAACAAAA